GAUGAACGCUGACAGAAUGCUUAACACAUGCAAGUCAACUGGAACUUCGGUUUGGGUGUCGGACGGGUGAGUAACGCUUAAAGAACUUGCCUCACAGCUAGGGACAACAUUUGGAAACGAAUGCUAAUACCGGAUAUUAUGAUUAUAUGGCAUCUUCUACUUAUGAAAGCUAUAUGCGCUGUGAGAGAGCUUUGCGUCCAAUUAGCGAGGUGGUGAGGUAACAGCUCACGCAGGAGAUGAUGGGUAGCCGGCCUGGGAGGGUGAUAGGCCACAAGGGGACUGAGAAACGGCCCGUACGCAAAAGGGAGGAAGCAGUGGGAAAUAUUGGAAAAUGGACCGAGAGUGUGAAGAAGGAAUUCGGUGUGCACAAUGAAGUUUUUCGGAAUGAAAAGUGCUUUCAGUUGGGAAGAAAAAAAUGACGGUACCAACAGAAGAAGCAACGGCUAACUACGUG
This 454-nucleotide ribosomal RNA is filed under the name uncultured bacterium. RNAcentral's name for it is "partial 16S ribosomal RNA". It matches the Rfam family "Bacterial small subunit ribosomal RNA", at positions 28 to 507 of the family's 1533-position model. The record is from RNAcentral.